Molecule: ribosomal RNA, 782 nt
Filed under: Enterococcus gallinarum
Lineage: Bacteria; Bacillati; Bacillota; Bacilli; Lactobacillales; Enterococcaceae
Description: bacterial SSU rRNA
Rfam family: Bacterial small subunit ribosomal RNA
Source: RNAcentral
AGAGUGGCGAACGGGUGAGUAACACGUGGGUAACCUGCCCAUCAGAAGGGGAUAACACUUGGAAACAGGUGCUAAUACCGUAUAACACUAUUUUCCGCAUGGAAGAAAGUUGAAAGGCGCUUUUGCGUCACUGAUGGAUGGACCCGCGGUGCAUUAGCUAGUUGGUGAGGUAACGGCUCACCAAGGCAACGAUGCAUAGCCGACCUGAGAGGGUGAUCGGCCACACUGGGACUGAGACACGGCCCAGACUCCUACGGGAGGCAGCAGUAGGGAAUCUUCGGCAAUGGACGAAAGUCUGACCGAGCAACGCCGCGUGAGUGAAGAAGGUUUUCGGAUCGUAAAACUCUGUUGUUAGAGAAGAACAAGGAUGAGAGUAAAAUGUUCAUCCCUUGACGGUAUCUAACCAGAAAGCCACGGCUAACUACGUGCCAGCAGCCGCGGUAAUACGUAGGUGGCAAGCGUUGUCCGGAUUUAUUGGGCGUAAAGCGAGCGCAGGCGGUUUCUUAAGUCUGAUGUGAAAGCCCCCGGCUCAACCGGGGAGGGUCAUUGGAAACUGGGAGACUUGAGUGCAGAAGAGGAGAGUGGAAUUCCAUGUGUAGCGGUGAAAUGCGUAGAUAUAUGGAGGAACACCAGUGGCGAAGGCGGCUCUCUGGUCUGUAACUGACGCUGAGGCUCGAAAGCGUGGGGAGCGAACAGGAUUAGAUACCCUGGUAGUCCACGCCGUAAACGAUGAGUGCUAAGUGUUGGAGGGUUUCCCGCCCUUCAGUGCUGCAGCAAACGCA